CCUACGGGGGGCUGCAGUAGGGAAUAUUGGGCAAUGGAGGCAACUCUGACCCAGCCAUGCCGCGUGCAGGAUGACGGCCCUCUGGGUUGUAAACUGCUUUUAUACGGGAAGAAAAAAUACUACGUGUAGUAUACUGACGGUACCGUAAGAAUAAGGAUCGGCUAACUCCGUGCCAGCAGCCGCGGUAAUACGGAGGAUCCAGGAGUUAUUGGGAUUUAUGGGUUUUAAAGGGUGCGUAUAAGUCAGUGGUGAAAGCCUGAAGCUUAACUGUAGAAUUGCCAUUGAAACUGAAAAUCUUGAAUUUGGUUAAAGUAGGCGGAAUGUAUCAUGUAGCGGUGAAAUGCUUAGAUAUGAUACAGAACACCGAUAGCGAAGGCAGCUUGCUGAACCAAUAUUGACGCUGAGGCACGAAAGCGUGGGGAGCGAACAGGAUUAGAUACCCUUGUAGUC
This 450-nucleotide ribosomal RNA is filed under the name uncultured bacterium. RNAcentral's name for it is "partial 16S ribosomal RNA". It matches the Rfam family "Bacterial small subunit ribosomal RNA", at positions 338 to 795 of the family's 1533-position model. The record is from RNAcentral.